GUCUAUGGCCAUGCCACCCUGAACACACCCAAUCUCGUCUGAUCUCGGAAGCUAAGCAGGGUCAGGCCUGGUUAGCACUUGGAUGGGAGACCACCUAGGAAGACGGGGUGCUAUAGGCA
This 119-nucleotide ribosomal RNA is filed under the name Pteropus alecto (black flying fox). Lineage: Eukaryota; Metazoa; Chordata; Mammalia; Chiroptera; Pteropodidae. The record is from RNAcentral.